RNAcentral lists this ribosomal RNA (370 nucleotides) under Ixodes ovatus complex sp. Group 3. RNAcentral describes it as "partial 16S ribosomal RNA". The record is from RNAcentral. Lineage: Eukaryota; Metazoa; Arthropoda; Arachnida; Ixodida; Ixodidae.
GUAUUUUGACUAUACGAAGGUAUUGAAAUAAGGCUUUAAAUGAGUGCUAAGAGAAUGGUUGAACAAUUAUAGGCUUUCUUUAAUUAAUAAAUUGAAGUUAAUUUUUUUGUGAAGAAGCAAAAAUGAAUAUUAGGGACAAGAAGACCCUAUGAAUUUUAAAAUUAAAAAAGGAGAUUAAUAAAUAACUUUUUAAUUUUAAUUGGGGUGAUAAGAAAAGAAUAGUUAUCUUUUUUUUAUGAGUUAAUUUGACCCAUUAAUAAUGAUUAAAUGAUUAAAAUACUCUAGCAUAACAGCGUAAUAAUUUUGGAUAGUUCAUAUAGAUCAGUCAUUGCGACCUCGAUGUUGGAUUAGGAUACUUUAUUGGUGGAGA